GACGAACGCUGGCGGCGUGCUUAACACAUGCAAGUCGAACGCUGAAGCUCAGCUUUUGUUGGGUGGAUGAGUGGCGAACGGGUGAGUAACACGUGAGUAACCUGCCUCCUUCUUUGGGAUAACGCCCGGAAACGGGUGCUAAUACUGGAUAUUCACUGGUCUUCGCAUGGGGGUUGGUGGAAAGGGUUUUUCUGGUGGGGGAUGGGCUCGCGGCCUAUCAGCUUGUUGGUGGGGUGAUGGCCUACCAAGGCUUUGACGGGUAGCCGGCCUGAGAGGGUGACCGGUCACAUUGGGACUGAGAUACGGCCCAGACUCCUACGGGAGGCAGCAGUGGGGAAUAUUGCACAAUGGGCGCAAGCCUGAUGCAGCGACGCCGCGUGAGGGAUAGAGGCCUUCGGGUUGUGAACCUCUUUCGCUCAUGGUCAAGCCGCAACAAUGGUUGUGGUGAGGGUAGUGGGUAAAGAAGCGCCGGCUAACUACGCG
RNAcentral lists this ribosomal RNA (483 nucleotides) under uncultured bacterium. RNAcentral describes it as "partial 16S ribosomal RNA". It matches the Rfam family "Bacterial small subunit ribosomal RNA", at positions 28 to 507 of the family's 1533-position model. The record is from RNAcentral.